RNAcentral lists this ribosomal RNA (181 nucleotides) under Florenciella parvula. Its description in RNAcentral is "partial Bacterial large subunit ribosomal RNA". Lineage: Eukaryota; Dictyochophyceae; Florenciellales. The record is from RNAcentral.
UCGCGGACUGACGGAAUAGGCCGUUAAAGAGGAGGCGUUGAUUUCCGCAGGCAAAUCCGCGGAGAGAGCCGAACUUGAUAGUAUGGAGCGUCCUUCGGGACAAUCCAAUAGCAUGGGUAACCAGACUGCCGAGAAAAUCCGCUAAACAUAAUUCUGAAGGUACCCGUACCGCAAACGGACA